UUCUGGUCUUUAUGCCUUUGGAUUUUACCCACAGGGCACUGGGUAUGCUAUCGGUGUCUUUAUUGCUGGAAUUCCUCAGAAGACGGUUGUCUGGACUGCCAAGCGUCACCAGUAGACAGCAAUGUUAACUUGCUCAUCAAUGAUGCUGGGUUAGUCUUGGAAGCGCAAGGCCAAACAACUACAGUUAUUUCUGCUCCCCAA
RNAcentral lists this unclassified non-coding RNA (201 nucleotides) under Hevea brasiliensis (rubber tree). Lineage: Eukaryota; Viridiplantae; Streptophyta; Magnoliopsida; Malpighiales; Euphorbiaceae. The record is from RNAcentral.